Molecule: transfer RNA, 74 nt
Filed under: Pharomachrus auriceps
Lineage: Eukaryota; Metazoa; Chordata; Aves; Trogoniformes; Trogonidae
Description: tRNA-Val
Rfam family: tRNA
About the family: Transfer RNA (tRNA) molecules are approximately 80 nucleotides in length. Their secondary structure includes four short double-helical elements and three loops (D, anti-codon, and T loops). Further hydrogen bonds mediate the characteristic L-shaped molecular structure. tRNAs have two regions of fundamental functional importance: the anti-codon, which is responsible for specific mRNA codon recognition, and the 3' end, to which the tRNAs corresponding amino acid is attached (by aminoacyl-tRNA synthetases). tRNAs cope with the degeneracy of the genetic code in two manners: having more than one tRNA (with a specific anti-codon) for a particular amino acid; and 'wobble' base-pairing, i.e. permitting non-standard base-pairing at the 3rd anti-codon position.
Source: RNAcentral
CAAGGCAUAGCUUAAAUGACAAAGCACUUAGUUUACACCUAAGAGAUAUCUGUUACCCACCCAGAUCGCCUUGA